UGCUUUGUGCAGUGGCAGUAUGGUAGCCAAAGAAGUUUAUUGGAGGUGCAAUUAUUGCUAAUUGAAACCUAUCUUCUGCUUCUUUGUUGAGAUUUUCUCUUUGUUCAGUUGUUUGUAAGCAUGUUUGUAAUUGCUUUUUAAUU
Small nuclear RNA from Nycticebus coucang (slow loris), 143 nucleotides. RefSeq annotates it as U4 spliceosomal RNA. The transcript has a single exon. Lineage: Eukaryota; Metazoa; Chordata; Mammalia; Primates; Lorisidae. The record is from RefSeq and is a predicted model, not a curated record.